UUCAUCAGAUUCACAGGAUACGGUCAUCCUUUCAGACAGCCCUUUGAGGAAACGUCAGAAGCUGGAUGCAGAAGCUAAGCAAUUGGUGGAAUCCAUUCUCACAAGCAAACCUGGUGGAGAACGUAUAAUAAAUGAGUACAAUCGGACCAAGUCCCUGGUGGAUGAAACCAGAAGAAAAAUGGUCAACAUACUGGUAGCUGACAUGACAGAAAAAAAUGGUACAUCACCACCACGGCAGGUAAAAGAAAUGUGUGC
Molecule: non-coding RNA, 255 nt
Organism: Maylandia zebra (zebra mbuna)
Lineage: Eukaryota; Metazoa; Chordata; Actinopteri; Cichliformes; Cichlidae
Source: RefSeq, a predicted model, not a curated record